This 443-nucleotide ribosomal RNA is filed under the name uncultured bacterium. RNAcentral's name for it is "partial 16S ribosomal RNA". It matches the Rfam family "Bacterial small subunit ribosomal RNA", at positions 338 to 795 of the family's 1533-position model. The record is from RNAcentral.
CCUACGGGUGGCAGCAGUGGGGGAUAUUGGACAAUGGGGGGAACCCUGAUCCAGCGAUGCCGCGUGAGUGAAGAAGGAUUUCGGUAUGUAAAGCUCUGUCAGCAGGGAAGAAAGCAAUGACGUUACCUGACCAAGAAGCUCCGGCUAACUACGUGCCAGCAGCCGCGGUAAUACGUAGGGGGCAAGCGUUAUCCGGAAUUACUGGGUGUAAUGGGAGCGUAGACGGCUUUGCAAGUCAGGAGUGAAAGGCCGGGGCCCAACCCCCGGACUGCACUGGAAACUGGAUGGCUGGAGUGCAGGAGAGGGGAGCAGAAUUCCAGGUGUAGCGGUGAAAUGCGUAGAUAUUAGGAGGAACACCAGUGGCGAAGGCGGCUUACUGGACUGUAACUGACGUUGAGGCUCGAAAGCGUGGGGAGCAAACAGGAUUAGAUACCCCGGUAGUC